AAUCUGGGGCCCAUGGCCUCUGAGUUGUAAUUUGGAGAGGCAUCUUCUGGGGGGAGCGCCGGCCCAUGUUCCUUGGAACAGGACGUCACAGAGGGUGAGAAUCCCGUGCGAGGCUGGUGGCCUCCUCCCAUGUGGAGGGCCUUCGACGAGUCGAGUUGUUUGGGAAUGCAGCUCCAAGUGGGUGGUAAAUCUCAUCUAAAGCUAAAUACCGGCGGGAGACCGAUAGCGCACAAGUAGAGUGAUCGAAAGAUGAAAAGCACUUUGAAAAUAGAGUCAAAAAGUACGUGAAAUUGUUGAAAGGGAAGCGCUUGAGACCAGACUCGGGCCCGGGCAAACACCGCGCUCUUCGGGGCCGUGCAAUUGCCUGGGCCUGGGCCAGCAUCAGUUGGUGUGGCGGGACAAAGGGGCGGGCAAUGUGGCUCCCCACGGGGAGUGUUAUUAGGCCCGCCCUCAAUGCCGCCGACGUCGACUGAGGACCGCGCCUCGGCUAGGAUGCUGGCUCAAUGGCCUUCAGCGACCCGUCUUGAAACACGGA
Molecule: ribosomal RNA, 535 nt
Filed under: Helvella vespertina
Lineage: Eukaryota; Fungi; Ascomycota; Pezizomycetes; Pezizales; Helvellaceae
Description: eukaryotic LSU rRNA
Rfam family: Eukaryotic large subunit ribosomal RNA
Source: RNAcentral